RNAcentral lists this ribosomal RNA (488 nucleotides) under uncultured bacterium. RNAcentral's name for it is "partial 16S ribosomal RNA". It matches the Rfam family "Bacterial small subunit ribosomal RNA", at positions 30 to 505 of the family's 1533-position model. The record is from RNAcentral.
AUUGAACGCUGGCGGCAGGCCUAACACAUGCAAGUCGAACGGUAACAGGAAGAAGCUUGCUUCUUUGCUGACGAGUGGCGGACGGGUGAGUAAUGUCUGGGAAACUGCCUGAUGGAGGGGGAUAACUACUGGAAACGGUAGCUAAUACCGCAUAACGUCGCAAGACCAAAGAGGGGGACCUUCGGGCCUCUUGCCAUCGGAUGUGCCCAGAUGGGAUUAGCUAGUAGGUGGGGUAACGGCUCACCUAGGCGACGAUCCCUAGCUGGUCUGAGAGGAUGACCAGCCACACUGGAACUGAGACACGGUCCAGACUCCUACGGGAGGCAGCAGUGGGGAAUAUUGCACAAUGGGCGCAAGCCUGAUGAAGCCAUGCCGCGUGUAUGAAGAAGGCCGUCGGGUUGUAAAGUACUUUCAGCGGGGAGGAAGGGAGUAAAGUUAAUACCUUUGAUCAUUGACGUUACCCGCAGAAGAGGCACCGGCUAACUCCG